RNAcentral lists this ribosomal RNA (945 nucleotides) under Sepedon sphegea. Its description in RNAcentral is "partial 16S ribosomal RNA". Lineage: Eukaryota; Metazoa; Arthropoda; Insecta; Diptera; Sciomyzidae. The record is from RNAcentral.
UUAAUGUGAUAAAAUUAUUUUAAAUAUCUUUCUUGAAAUGAAAUGUUAUUCGUUUUUAAAGGUAUCUGGUUUUCUUAGAAAUAAAUUUAAUUUACAUUUAUUCUAGUAUUUUAUUUAUUAUAAAUAAAAUUUAUAGUUUAAAUGAAUAUCUUUAGGGAUAAGCUUAAAGAUAAAUAAUUAUAAGAAAUAAUAUAAUAAAUUACAAGUAUGCUUAGAAGUAGCAAUCUUUUACGAAAUUGUUAUAAAUUAUAAUAUAAAAAAAUUAUUUAAUAGUCUUUAAUUAUAUAUAAGAAUUUUAUUUUUAAUUUUAUAAAGUAAGUAAAUAUGAAAAAAUUAGUAUAUGUUAUGUAAAAAUAAAUGAAAUAAAAAGAUUUUUGUAAAGAACUCGGCAAAAAUAAUGUCCGCCUGUUUAACAAAAACAUGUCUUUUUGAAUGAAUAAAAAGUCUGACCUGCCCACUGAAUUAUUAAAUGGCCGCAGUACUCUAACUGUGCAAAGGUAGCAUAAUCAUUAGUCUUUUAAUUGAAGGCUGGAAUGAAUGGUUGGACGAGAUAUUAACUGUUUCAUAAAAAUUAAAUUAGAAUUUUAUUUUUUAGUCAAAAAGCUAAAAUUAUAUUAAAAGACGAGAAGACCCUAUAAAGCUUUAUAUAUUUUUAAUUAAUUUAUAAAAAGAUUCUUAAAUAAAUUAAUUUUUAGUAUAUUUUAUUGGGGUGAUAGUAAAAUUUAAAAAACUUUUAUUUUGUUAUUUCAUUAAUUUAUGAAUUAUUGAUCCGUAAAUUACGAUUAAAAAAUUAAGUUACUUUAGGGAUAACAGCGUAAUCUUUUUGGAGAGUUCAUAUCGAUAAAAAGGAUUGCGACCUCGAUGUUGGACUAAGGAAUAUCUUUGGCGCAGCCGUUGAAGAAUAAAGUCUGUUCGACUUUUAAUCCCUUACAUGAUCUGAGUUCA